AGCUCGUAGGUGGUUCGUCACGUCGGAUGUGAAAAUCUGGGGCUUAACCCCAGACCUGCAUUCGAUACGGGCGAGCUAGAGUGUGGUAGGGGAGACUGGAAUUCCUGGUGUAGCGGUGGAAUGCGCAGAUAUCAGGAGGAACACCAAUGGCGAAGGCAGGUCUCUGGGCCAUUACUGACACUGAGGAGCGAAAGCGUGGGGAGCGAACAGGAUUAGAUACCCUGGUAGUCCACGCCGUAAACGGUGGGCACUAGUUGUGGGAACCUUCCACGGUUUCUGCGACGCAGCUAACGCAUUAAGUGCCCCGCCUGGGGAGUACGAUCGCAAGAUUAAAACUCAAAGGAAUUGACGGGGCCCCGCACAAGCGGCGGAGCAUGCGGCUUAAUUCGACGCAACGCGAAGAACCUUACCAAGGCUUGACAUAUACAGGAAUAUGGCAGAGAUGUCAUAGCCGCAAGGUCUGUAUACAGGUGGUGCAUGGUUGUCGUCAGCUCGUGUCGUGAGAUGUUGGGUUAAGUCCCGCAACGAGCGCAACCCUUGUCAUUAGUUGCUACGAAAGGGCACUCUAAUGAGACUGCCGGUGACAAACCGGAGGAAGGUGGGGAUGACGUCAAGUCCUCAUGGCCCUUAUGGGUAGGGCUUCACACGUCAUACAAUGGUACAUACAGAGGGCCGCCAACCCGCGAGGGGGAGCUAAUCCCAGAAAGUGUAUCGUAGUCCGGAUUGUAGUCUGCAACUCGACUGCAUGAAGUUGGAAUCGCUAGUAAUCGCGGAUCAGCAUGUCGCGGUGAAUACGUUCCCGGGUCUUGUACACACCGCCCGUCACACCAUGGGAGCGGGUUUCACCAGAAGUAAGUAGCUUAACCGCAAGGAGGGCGCUUACCACGGUGGGAUUCGUGACUGGGGUGAAGUCGUAACAAGGUAA
Molecule: ribosomal RNA, 925 nt
Filed under: uncultured bacterium
Lineage: Bacteria
Description: bacterial SSU rRNA
Rfam family: Bacterial small subunit ribosomal RNA
Source: RNAcentral